This is a long non-coding RNA of Sarcophilus harrisii (Tasmanian devil), 2135 nucleotides long. RefSeq lists it as uncharacterized. The record is from RefSeq and is a predicted model, not a curated record. The transcript is spliced from 3 exons. NCBI's taxonomy places the organism in Eukaryota, Metazoa, Chordata, Mammalia, Dasyuromorphia, Dasyuridae.
UCCUACCUUGAAAUUCUAAGAUCUCUGGUCUAUAAAUUGUAAGGUGAAUGUAUUUUUGUUAUUAUUAUUUGCACUAUAAGGAUUGUUAGAGGUCAUCUAGCUCAAGACCCUCAUUUAAAAGAACAGGAAAUCAGGAAACUCUUUUCUCUGACACCAAACCCAGUAUUCUUUCCUCUCUCUAUACGCCACCCAUAGACUAGAAUCUGCUUUCGACCUACACUGCAGUCUAUUUUUCAGAGAGGAGCAGUCAUGUCAGACAUGGAGCCAAGCUGAACUAGGGAUAACAUAAGGAGGCUGGAGUGAAGUGGAUUCCAGUUGCAUUUUAAGAGAGCCCUCUGGUAGAAAAUCACCAUCCAUCCUCUACAAUUCUCUAUUCAAUCAAAGUUCCAUGGUGGCCAAUCACAGACUGAAUCAACCUUGAAGAGGAAAGGAACGUUGCCUGUAUUCAUUUCCAAAGAACAAUCAAAUGGAAUAGCUACAAAGUGCCCUCCUGCUAUGUUUUUCAUUUGUACAUAGAUGCUUGCACAUCAUCUCCCCCAUCAGACUGUGAUGACGUGAGCAGGCAUUGAGAGGGUCUCUGUUUAUUUUGUUUUGAGUUUUGCCUUUCUUUGUAUCCUUUAGCUGGUUGAUUAAUUGAUUGUUAUCCUAUAUUCUUGAAAAGUACCAAACUGAUAUCACUAGGUCAGAGCAGAGUUACAGUGUGUGUCUGACAGUCACUGAUCAAAGCAAUACGAGCUUGGAUUGGUCAGACACUUAUAAACAUUUGGGGGCUUCUCUAACUUUGCAUUAUAUUUCUUCUGAGCUAACUCAAUUCUGCUUUGCUCAUAGAGCACAGCACCUUCUCUGACGAGGGCAUGCUGUGCUGGGUGAUCUUGUGCCAAUCUUUCAUGUCAUACAAUCAAUCCUAAAGUUCUUAACAGAGACCUUGAGAGUGUCCUUGUAUGGAUUUUUCUGACCCCCUUGUAAACGCUUACCCGGUGUGAGCUCUCCAUAAAAUAGUCUUUUUGGCAAGGGUACAUUUGGCAUUCAAACAAUGUGGCAGUCCAGCGGAGUUGUGCUCUCUACGGUAGAAUUGGAAAGCUUGGCAGUUUGUCUCACUGAGAAAGAACCUCAGUGUCUGGAAUCUUAUUCUGCAAGGGGAUCUUCAGCAUCUUCCUAGGACAAUUCAAAUAGUAGCAAUUCAGUUUCCUGGCAUGGCUCUGGUAGACUGCACUGUAUUUAGCAGGUAUUUAGCACCUGCCACAUAGUAGGAGCUUAAUAAAUGUUGACAGACUGAUUUACUAGAAGCUUAUUCUAUGUGUUCCUCCUCCUCCUCCAAAGUGACAGACCCACUGCUAUCUUAGAAAUUAAGAAGUUAGAAAUUCUUUUUAGUCCUUUAUUAGAGGAAAUCCAGCAGCACCAAGAGAAGUAGGGAAGGAUAGAAAGGGUUAAGAGAAAACUGACCACAAUCUUAAGAAAGUGAGAGGGAGGGUGACCAAGAAGGGAGCAAAGGUCUGAGAAACUUAAACUUACAUCAACAGAUGGGAAGAGCCAAGUAAUGGGCUCCAAGAAUAGAUUUUGAGCUGGAAGAGGACAUCUUAAGUCAUCUAAAGCUGACUCCAUGUAACAGAACAGGAAACUGAGAUCCAAAGAAAGGUGAUUUAGGCAAAGUAAGUAGGAGAGCAGGGAUCAGGUUUCUAUACCACCAAGACAGACGUUCCAGUCAACAUGGAAAAAUGAACAACAGAAAGACCAAGUCAAUCCUCUGCUCAAAAUCUCCCUAUUACCUACCAAGUCAAAUUCAAAAUCCUAUGCUUGCCAAUCAAAACCCUCCACAAUCUGCAUCAUGCUACCUUUGUAGUCUUAUUUAAUCUUAUUCUCCAGCAGCUCUUUCCCCCAAGUCCACUCAACAAUUUAUCUAGACAUUUUUUUUUCUCUUUGUCCCCUAUGUCUGAAAUGUCUCUCCUCUGCUCUUUUUCUGGCAAAUUCUUUCCCAUCCUCCUCACCCUAACAUUCUUGUUGUCUUUCCUAAUAUCUCAGUCUCUGCUUCUCUGUCUCUGAAUCUUUCUCCAUGUAUUUACAUAUAUUCAGAUAUCUGCACAUAUCUACAUGUAUAGACACACAUACCCAUUAUAGACAUACAUGUGUAUACAUAC